Lolium rigidum is the source of this 3003-nucleotide long non-coding RNA. RefSeq lists it as uncharacterized. The transcript is spliced from 3 exons. NCBI's taxonomy places the organism in Eukaryota, Viridiplantae, Streptophyta, Magnoliopsida, Poales, Poaceae. The record is from RefSeq and is a predicted model, not a curated record.
UGGAGGGUCAGACUGCAAUUUUGUGUUUUUACGAUUAGGCUCCCUAUUUAGUACAUGUUCUGGAUGAUUAGACUCCCUACCUGUGCACGAUUUGGCUAUCUGCUUUUUUUUGAGGUAAUUUGGCUAUCUGCUUAGUACAUGUCGACGAGUAGUCUCUCUACUUAGUACCUGUGGAGGGUUGUUGGUUAGUCCUAUAUCUGCCACAUAGGAAUUGGGAAAGGGAGUUUUUUUAGAAAAAAUUGGACAGAAAACUCAAAAAAAUUAAAAAAUUGGACAUUGACAAAAAAAAGGACAAAAAACUCCAAUUUUUUUUUGAUAAAAACUUGGACAUUGCAUUUUCCAUAUAUCUUGAAAGUACUUUGCUAACUUGAACUAUAGCCAAGCUAGAAGGAUAGUUGGAUUGAACUUCACUUGGCAAAAGUUAUGUUCGUACCAAACUUGCCGGUCUAUUUUCAAUUUAUGCUUUUAGCUGAAGUUUAGUUCCUAUAGAGCAUCUAGUAACACGAAUAUGAAAUCGUGAACUAACUAAUAAACGGAUAUAAGUUUUCUUCGCAUCUCAGCAGCUUUAUGGAUCAUCUACUUCGUACCUUUGGACGAUUAGGGUUGUUGAUUAGUAAUAUAUCUGCUGACUAUCUGCCACAUAGGAAUUGGGAUUUGAAAGGAAAAAAUUGGAUAUUGAUAAAAAAAUCUGACAAAAAACUCAAAUAAAAUUGAAGAAAAAUUGGACAUUGCACUUUACAUAUCUUGAAAGGACUUUGCUAACUUGAACUAUAGCCAAGCUAGAAGGAUAGUUGGAUUGAACUUCACUUGUCAAAAGUUAUGUUCUUGCCAAACUGGUGGUCUAUUUUCAACGUAUGCUUUUAGCUGAAGUUUAGUUCCUAUAGAGCAUCUAGUAACAUAAAUAUGAAAUCAUUAACUAAUUAAUAAACAGAUAUGAGUUUUCUUCACUUCUCAGCAGCUUUUAUGGGCUUAAAUUCAGGCUUUGAUCAUGUCUCCUGAACAAUUUAAGUACACUGUAGCAGUUCUCCAUUAGGCAAUUGUUUGAAUGCUGAAAAUACACGGUUACUGCUUUUGUUGAAGCCAGGUGUGAUAGUUAAUAGUUGAACAAAAUAUACCUGAACAAUUUAAGUAUGCUGUAGCAGUUCUCCACUUAUGUUCACCUGCAAGUAAGAAGAUUGUUCUUUUUUUUUUUUUGCUGAAGCCAGGUGAGAUAGUUAAUAGUUGAACAAAAUAUACCUGAAUAACUGCUUUUGUUGCUUUGUGGCCGUCUUUCUGACGAAAAUGAUAUUUUGUGUACGUGCUUAAUCACUGUUUACCUUUACUUUUGGCGCUCAUUAUUAUAAUGUUAGAUUAGAAUUAUAUAAAUUUUGCUGUUCUGGCAAGUUCAUGGUUUGUCUGGAUUUUGUGAAUGAUUCUCAGUUCUUGUGAACAAAAUUAUAUUCCUCUGCUCCAAAUCUUUAAUUAAUGUAUCUUAAUUGAUUGGUCUGAUUGUCUUCUUUGCAGGAUCAUGUACUGUAUUCAUGCUUUGAGACACUCUGUCUACAUCCUGUCUCGCAGAUUCUUUUGUUACGUUGUAGCAGUCAUUCUGUGGAAAUACAUAUUUGAUGCUUGUGCUAAUCACUGUUUAUCUUCAUGUUUGGCUCUCAUUUAUGGCGUUUUCUUUAAUUAUUUAAUUUCAUCUGUUCUGGUUGGGUGAUGUGAAUGAUUCUCAGUUUUUCAGUAUCAUAAGCGAGAAGCUGAGACCCCAAGAAGGAUCAUGCGGUAGUACCAUUUGAAGUUGCAAGAGAUUGGACAGAACGGAGGAGCCAGUGCAAGAGUUGCGGCUGCACCUCCGCGGUAAGACAAUAGGAGGCCAAUCUGGCCUGUCCCAACCUAUGCCUGGUAUGCUGCAGCUUUAUCCAAUCCUCUACUAACUCCCUUCUUUGAAAUUACAUUUCCUUUCACAUUGGCUGCCAAAUAUUGAUGAUGGGGUUUUGAGCCAGAAGCCAUUGAAGAUCGAUCUUGACUGCAGAGGAAUUGUUUUAGUUGCAAGGUGAGAGUUCAACCAAUGUUUCUUUUCUAGGUACGGUUGAAAUGCAUUGUUUUCUCGCAUUUCCAUGUGUUCAACACUUGCCAGAGAUUGGACAUAGUGGAGGAGCCAGUACAAGAGACGUGGCUGGCACCUCGUCAACAGUAAGACCAUAGGAACCUAAUAUAGCCUGCCCCAGCUUACUAUUUAUCCUGCUCAAAUGCUUUUUCAGUUUUCCCGAGUGUCUCCAGGAAGGUAGGGUUUAUCAUUUUACACGUUUGAAACAUAUUUGCUAUAUUAAUCUCUAUUGUUAUGAACAUCUUUAUCAACCGUCUGAGCAUCACAUCAUAUUUUAGUCAUAUAAUUAUUGAGCAUCACUGCUCUGAACGGCUUAGGAUUGCCAGUAAUGAACAUGAUUGCAGGGAUCUGGUCAUAAAAUUUGUCUUGUAAUGUUGCAGCUUAUACUUCUAUUUCGUUGGUCUGGAGACAGUAUUUCUAUGGAUAGUUAUGAAAUCAUAAUCAUUUCAAUCUGAAGAUCACUUUUAAGUUUAAAAUAUGCUCCUAUAAGAUCCCCUGAAACUCGAGAUGUGGCAAACAUACCAUCUUAUAAUUAUAUAAACAAAUAAGCUACUUUGUAUCCUUGUUCAGUUUGAUAGUAGGGAUAUCAGAAAAAGAACUAACAUGAAGUGUUGGAUUCUUUCCUCAUGGAUGGAUCUGUUGAAGAAGUGGAGAUGUAUAUUCUUGGAAAUAAUGAAUGCAUUUGUUUCCUGAGACUGAACAUUACAAAAGCACCUCUUCUAGAAGAAGAAGCUAUAAAGCCCUCGGAGCUUUUGAAGGAAGAAGUUCUGACUUACUUUCCUGAUUCUAUCUGUAACAGUUUGGGCCAUCUUCUAUGUAUAUGUAUUUAGCCCAAAUAGUCAGCCUGGCCCAAGUUGUCAUAUGGAACCUCUGUACAUUACUCUGAAUGCAAUAGAGAAAAUCUUCAGUUGGUCAAA